GACGAACGCCGGCGGCGUGCUUAACACAUGCAAGUCGAACGGUAAGGCCCUUCGGGGUACACGAGUGGCGAACGGGUGAGUAACACGUGGGUGAUCUGCCCUGCACUUCGGGAUAAGCCUGGGAAACUGGGUCUAAUACCGGAUAGGACCACUGCCUGCAUGGGUGGUGGUGGAAAGCUUUUGCGGUGUGGGAUGGGCCCGCGGCCUAUCAGCUUGUUGGUGGGGUGAUGGCCUACCAAGGCGACGACGGGUAGCCGGCCUGAGAGGGUGACCGGCAACACUGGAGCUUGGAUACUGCCCAGACCCCUACGGGAGGCAGCAGUGAGGAAUAUUGCACAAUGGGCGCAAGCCUGAUGCAGCGACGCCGCGGGAGGCAUGACGGCCUUCGGGUUGUAAACCUCUUUCAUCACCGACGAAGCGCAAGUGACGGUAGGUGCAGAAGAAGGACCGGCCAACUACGUGCCAGCCGCCGCAGUAA
RNAcentral lists this ribosomal RNA (478 nucleotides) under uncultured bacterium. RNAcentral's name for it is "partial 16S ribosomal RNA". It matches the Rfam family "Bacterial small subunit ribosomal RNA", at positions 28 to 523 of the family's 1533-position model. The record is from RNAcentral.